GCUUGCGGCGUGCUUAACACAUGCAAGUCGAACGGAAAGGCCCUGCUUUUGUGGGGUGCUCGAGUGGCGAACGGGUGAGUAACACGUGAGUAACCUGCCCUUGACUUUGGGAUAACUUCAGGAAACUGGGGCUAAUACCGGAUAGGAGCUCCUGCUGCAUGGUGGGGGUUGGAAAGUUUCGGCGGUUGGGGAUGGACUCGCGGCUUAUCAGCUUGUUGGUGGGGUAGUGGCUUACCAAGGCUUUGACGGGUAGCCGGCCUGAGAGGGUGACCGGCCACAUUGGGACUGAGAUACGGCCCAGACUCCUACGGGAGGCAGCAGUGGGGAAUAUUGCACAAUGGGCGGAAGCCUGAUGCAGCAACGCCGCGUGCGGGAUGACGGCCUUCGGGUUGUAAACCGCUUUCGCCUGUGACGAAGCGUGAGUGACGGUAAUGGGUAAAGAAGCACCGGCUAACUACGUGCCAGCAGCCGCGGUGAUACGUAGGGUGCGAGCGUUGUCCGGAUUUAUUGGGCGUAAAGGGCUCGUAGGUGGUUGAUCGCGUCGGAAGUGUAAUCUUGGGGCUUAACCCUGAGCGUGCUUUCGAUACGGGUUGACUUGAGGAAGGUAGGGGAGAAUGGAAUUCCUGGUGGAGCGGUGGAAUGCGCAGAUAUCAGGAGGAACACCAGUGGCGAAGGCGGUUCUCUGGGCCUUUCCUGACGCUGAGGAGCGAAAGCGUGGGGAGCGAACAGGCUUAGAUACCCUGGUAGUCCACGCUGUAAACGGUGGGUACUAGGUGUGGGGUCCAUUCCACGGGUUCCGUGCCGUAGCUAACGCUUUAAGUACCCCGCCUGGGGAGUACGGCCGCAAGGCUAAAACUCAAAGGAAUUGACGGGGCCCCGCACAAGCGGCGGAGCAUGCGGAUUAAUUCGAUGCAACGCGUAGAACCUUACCUGGGUUUGACAUGGAUCGGGAGUGCUCAGAGAUGGGUGUGCCUCUUUUGGGGUCGGUUCACAGGUGGUGCAUGGCUGUCGUCAGCUCGUGUCGUGAGAUGUUGGGUUAAGUCCCGCAACGAGCGCAACCCUUGUUCACUGUUGCCAGCACGUUAUGGUGGGGACUCAGUGGAGACCGCCGGGGUCAACUCGGAGGAAGGUGGGGAUGACGUCAAGUCAUCAUGCCCCUUAUGUCCAGGGCUUCACGCAUGCUACAAUGGCUGGUACAGAGAGUGGCGAGCCUGUGAGGGUGAGCGAAUCUCGGAAAGUCGGUCUCAGUUCGGAUUGGGGUCUGCAACUCGACCUCAUGAAGUCGGAGUCGCUAGUAAUCGCAGAUCAGCAACGCUGCGGUGAAUACGUUCCCGGGGCUUGUACACACCGCCCGUCAAGUCAUGAAAGUUGGUAACACCCGAAGCCGGUGGCCUAACCGUUGUGGGGGAGCCGUCGAAGGUGGGACUGGUGAUUAGGACUAAG
This 1443-nucleotide ribosomal RNA is filed under the name uncultured organism. RNAcentral describes it as "16S ribosomal RNA". It matches the Rfam family "Bacterial small subunit ribosomal RNA". The record is from RNAcentral.